Molecule: long non-coding RNA, 810 nt
Filed under: Heterocephalus glaber (naked mole-rat)
Lineage: Eukaryota; Metazoa; Chordata; Mammalia; Rodentia; Bathyergidae
Description: lncRNA (ENSHGLG00000050048.1)
Source: RNAcentral
UCUAAAAUGUACCAAUAAAUGUAUUGUUAAAAAAAAAAAAGACCCCUUGUAGGGGCAGGGCCAAGAAAGGGCGGACUCUUGUGUUUCUGGGUUAGUAGGCCUGCCCGUGUUCCAUUGGCUAACACAUCGCUCAAUCAUCAGUCCCCGCCUCCCUGGGCCUGGCCGGAAGACCCGUCCCCACUUCCCAUUGCCCGCCGCUGCCUGCCCAGCCCUUGGUGAACACCGGAAUUCAGAGGCUCGGUGUGACACACCUGGAACCCCAGCACUUUCGAGACUGAGGCAGGAGGAUCACCGGUCUCAGUAUGCAAUUCAGGCUGGCCUCCAACUCCCAGUGAUCCUCCCGCCUCAGCCUCCAGAGUGCUAGGAUGACAGGUGCCCGCCUCCUCUGGGACACCUGAUGGGUGACUCUGCCACCCUAGGACACUGGACGAACCACCCUUCCAGAACCGGUUUGAAGCCAAACAAUGGUGCGGCGUGGGCCAGCAGAGCAGGAGGCUAUGGGAGCAGUGGUUUUGUGGCCAAGAGGGGCAAAGGCCCAGGCGCCAGGCAAUCAGCCUCUCCCAGCCUGGCAAGGGCCCCCGAGGCACCCUGGUCUUCCCAGAGGCCGGGGACAGUAGGGAUGCAAAGCCUCCUGAGAUGAGGGAGGUGACCCAGGUCAGGGGCAGAUGGGUCACCCACCUCCCUGCAAUGAGGAGAGGGAGGCAGCCAUCCCAGGAGGGACGCUCCCCAGGGAGCCAAAAAGCUCUGAGCCACUUACAGCCCCUAAAGUCUCCCCACUCCUCCCCGUAACUGUGCCUUUCCCUCCCCAAA